This is a long non-coding RNA of Zea mays, 276 nucleotides long. RefSeq lists it as uncharacterized. The record is from RefSeq and is a predicted model, not a curated record. The transcript has 3 exons. Lineage: Eukaryota; Viridiplantae; Streptophyta; Magnoliopsida; Poales; Poaceae.
CUUGGCGACGACUGGGCGGCAUGUGCCUAGGUCUUCUUGGGACCCUUCGCCGGCGACAAGCACCACCAGGUUCAGUCAUGAGUGGGCUUCUCAUGAGCUUCCCUAAGUGAUGCUUCAUAUGUUUUCUAACAUGCAACAUCUCCCGAUGUUAUCCAUGUACUGGAUAUAUCCUUAGAAGUCAGAGAUGCAGAAGUCUGAUCAUCAUGAGCAGAAGCUAACUUCACCAAGAGGAAACAAGCAACUCAUCAAUAUUCUCAAAGCAAAAGGAUGUUGAUG